GUGCUUAACACAUGCAAGUCGAACGGAAAGGCCCUUUCGGGGGUACUCGAGUGGCGAACGGGUGAGUAACACGUGGGUGAUCUGCCCUGCACUUUGGGAUAAGCCUGGGAAACUGGGUCUAAUACCGGAUAGGACUACGGACUGCAUGGUCUGUGGUGGAAAGCUUUUGCGGUGUGGGAUGGGCCCGCGGCCUAUCAGCUUGUUGGUGGGGUGAUGGCCUACCAAGGCGACGACGGGUAGCCGGCCUGAGAGGGUGUCCGGCCACACUGGGACUGAGAUACGGCCCAGACUCCUACGGGAGGCAGCAGUGGGGAAUAUUGCACAAUGGGCGCAAGCCUGAUGCAGCGACGCCGCGUGGGGGAUGACGGCCUUCGGGUUGUAAACCUCUUUCACCAUCGGCGAAGCCGGGAGCUUUUGUUUCUGGUGACGGUAGGUGGAGAAGAAGCACCGGCCAACUACGUGCCAGCAGCCGCGGUAAUACGUAGGGUGCGAGCGUUGUCCGGAAUUACUGGGCGUAAAGAGCUCGUAGGUGGUUUGUCGCGUUGUUCGUGAAAUC
Molecule: ribosomal RNA, 556 nt
Filed under: Mycobacterium cookii
Lineage: Bacteria; Bacillati; Actinomycetota; Actinomycetes; Mycobacteriales; Mycobacteriaceae
Description: bacterial SSU rRNA
Rfam family: Bacterial small subunit ribosomal RNA
Source: RNAcentral